RNAcentral lists this ribosomal RNA (490 nucleotides) under uncultured bacterium. RNAcentral describes it as "partial 16S ribosomal RNA". It matches the Rfam family "Bacterial small subunit ribosomal RNA", at positions 29 to 507 of the family's 1533-position model. The record is from RNAcentral.
AUUGAACGCUGGCGGCAGGCCUAACACAUGCAAGUCGAACGGUAACAGGAAGCAGCUUGCUGCUUCGCUGACGAGUGGCGGACGGGUGAGACAUGUCUGGGAAGCUGCCUGAUGGAGGGGGAUAACUACUGGAAACGGUAGCUAAUACCGCAGAAUGUCGCAAGACCAAAGAGGGGGAGCUUCGGGCGGCUUGCCAUCGGGUGUGCCCAGAUGGGAUUAGCUUGUUGGUGGGGGAACGGCUCAGCAAGGCGACGAGCCCGAGCUGGUCUGAGAGGAUGAGCGCCCACACUGGAACUGGGCCACGGUCCAGACUCCUACGGGAGGCAGCAGUGGGGAAUAUUGGACAAUGGUCGCAAGCCUGAUGCAGCCAUGCCGCGUGUAUGAAGAAGGCCUUCGGGUUGUAAAGUACUUUCAGCGGGGAGGAACGGAGUAAGGUUAAUACCUUGGCUCAUUGACGUUACCCGCAGAAGAAGCACCGGCUAACUCCGUG